GGCAGUGUGACUGGCAAUAGCAUUAAGAACUUACCAUGAUCUGCCUCUUCCCCUCACCCCCAACCUGGAUAUAGGUUCAAGGACGGCCUGGCUACCCUGAACCUUUUCAAUGCUCUGGAACAACAUCCCUCCCUGUUCCUGCCUUACUUGGUUUACAGCGCGGAAGACCUGAAAGCAGAGACUCUAGAGGCGCUGUUCCGUCCACAAAUGAGCCCAACUGGUAGCUCAAACCGCCAGGAGGAGGAGAGUGCUUGGCUACUGGCUGGACUACUUAAUCGCUGUAAAAGAGGAAGCAUCUGGGCUGCCCCUGCAGGACGUUCUGAUGUUUGCAACAGGCCUAAAAGAAAUCCCAGCAGCAAAAUUAACACCACAGCCUCAACUCACAUUC
Molecule: long non-coding RNA, 388 nt
Organism: Gadus morhua (Atlantic cod)
Lineage: Eukaryota; Metazoa; Chordata; Actinopteri; Gadiformes; Gadidae
Exons: 2
Source: RefSeq, a predicted model, not a curated record